Molecule: ribosomal RNA, 552 nt
Filed under: Boana lanciformis
Lineage: Eukaryota; Metazoa; Chordata; Amphibia; Anura; Hylidae
Description: partial large subunit ribosomal RNA
Rfam family: Bacterial large subunit ribosomal RNA
Source: RNAcentral
UCGCCUCUUGACAAAAUAUAAGAGGUCCAGCCUGCCCAGUGACCUAGUUCAACGGCCGCGGUAUCCUAACCGUGCGAAGGUAGCGUAAUCACUUGUUCUUUAAAUGAGGACUAGUAUGAAUGGCACCACGAGGGUUAAGCUGUCUCCUUUUUCUAAUCAGUGAAACUAAUCUCCCCGUGAAGAAGCGGGGAUUAUAUUAUAAGACGAGAAGACCCUAUGGAGCUUAAAACAAAUUAACACUUGCUUCUGCCUGAUUCACUUCAUGAACUGACACAUAAAGUAUAGCACCACUGAUUAAUAGUUUUCGAUUGGGGUGAUCAUGGAGUAAAAAAUAACCUCCACGACGAAAAGGGGCACCUCCCUGAGCCAAAAGCCACAACUUUAAGCACUAAAAAAUUGACGCACCUUGACCCAAAUUUUUGAGCAACGAACCAAGUUACCCUAGGGAUAACAGCGCAAUCCACUUCAAGAGCCCCUAUCGACAAGUGGGUUUACGACCUCGAUGUUGGAUCAGGGUGUCCCAGUGGUGCAGCCGCUACUAAAGGUUCGUUU